CGCUGGCGGCGUGCUUAACACAUGCAAGUCGAACGCGAAAGGGAUUUCGGUCCUGAGUAGAGUGGCGCACGGGUGAGUAACGCGUAAGUUAUCUACCCCUCCAUCUGGAAUAACUCACCGAAAGGUGUGCUAAUACCGGAUACGUUGGAAACAAGAAAGGUGGCCUCUAUUUAUAUGCUACCGUGGAGGGAUGAGCUUGCGUACCAUUAGCUAGUUGGUAGGGUAAUGGCCUACCAAGGCAACGAUGGUUAGCGGGUCUGAGAGGAUGAUCCGCCACACUGGAACUGGAACACGGACCAGACUCCUACGGGAGGCAGCAGUGAGGAAUAUUGCGCAAUGGGGGAAACCCUGACGCAGCGACGCCGCGUGGAUGAUGAAGGCCCUUGGGUCGUAAAAUCCUGUCAGAUGGAAAGAAAUGCUAUUACGCUAAUAUCGUAAUAGUUUGACGGUACCAUCAAAGGAAGCACCGGCUAACUCCGUG
RNAcentral lists this ribosomal RNA (481 nucleotides) under uncultured bacterium. RNAcentral's name for it is "bacterial SSU rRNA". It matches the Rfam family "Bacterial small subunit ribosomal RNA", at positions 34 to 507 of the family's 1533-position model. The record is from RNAcentral.